AGAAACUCCUUUUGGUUUGCACAUUCCUCUCUCCUUGUGUGGCAGCUCCUGAGCGGAGGGAAACGCAGGCCCUGCUGGCACCUCAGCUGCACACGGGAUGAAGAGUGUGAAAAUGCCUGUGAUACAUCCAUAAGUGCCGGGUGAAUGACACAAUGUGGCUAACGGCAUCACAAGAGUCAUCUGAGUAGAGGAGGUGUUAAGAUAGAGGCUUGGAAUAAGGGACAUACUGUCUUGGUCCUAGCAGUGUCACUGCUGCUCUCUGCUAGUCCUCGCAGGCAGGACAGACAGACAGAAACGUCUGUUGUUUGCAGGCCUGUGUGCUGCAAAUUCUAAUCAGUGAUUUGUGUGAUUCUGACUGGGAUCCCUUCUCUUGCAGUUUGCCCCUAACGUGUAAAUUGACAUGCAGAGGAGGCUGGCAGCUCUGCAUCUGUUUUGAUGGAAAGCCCAGGACCCAGAAAGACAUUUAAAGUUAAGUGUAGAUGUUACUGCCACUCCAACUUAGUAUUGUCUGUUUUAGCUGAAGUUUUAGGCGCCACUUAACAGAAUACUUCUGGUUACAGAGAGGAGUUUGAAAAUGUAACCCAGAUGAACACUGAGGAGUUCAGAAUCGGAAGGCGAUGAAAGGAAAACUCAGUAUGCUGUUUUUAAAAGGUUAAGGUACUCUAAGCCUAACAUAGCCCAGGUAAACCUUUCAGGCUAGCAAUGCUGAGAACUUGUGAAAAAUACUAGCUUGUAUUAGCUUGCUUUUUGAUCUUUGUUUUCAAGCGUCAGGGUAAAGCCGACUGUGGGUCAGAUGAGGCCAGAUGAGACGCUUGCUGGGCACUCUGAAUUCCUCAUUUCUAUGGUAGCUCAAGCCACGGAAAGUUGCAGAGCAAAAGUCCUGUUGCCCAGACAGUUGCAACUCUGGUGCUAAGCCUCUGAAGUUUGGGAGGCUGGGAUUGUGUAAGCUGUGAUUCAGCAGAACCCAGCGACUACGGGCACAUUAAAAUGAAGGAAUGGACUUCAUUACGAAACAAAAGCAUUAUUGCAUUUAAAAUGAUUAGAGAUUAAACCAAUGCUUUUUAUGUUUACAGGAGGUGCUACAUUAUGUUUAGAAGGAAUUGUGUUAUAUUCUCAACAGCUAUUAAAAUAUAUGAAGUAUAUGCUUUAACAUGAAGACUUUUUUUAGUAUAAUAUCAACUUGCAGGAAGGAAGGGGGAGGUCCCCCCUGCUGAGCUGCUUCUGAGCUCCCCAAAGUGGCAUAAAACAAUUCUGUAACUUCCAUGUUGUUGUUGUUAGAAUUAUUAAUUUAUGUUUUAUUACAGCUUCCAAAACCAUGUUAUAUUUUGGUUUUAACAGUAGUUGAUUCUAAUAUUAAUCUUAUUUAGAAACCAGUUUUAAUUCCUUUCCUAUUUCAUACUUGGGGCUAAUUCCUUGUUAAUUAGCCUUCAUUCAUUUUAAUAAUGGGAUAUGUAAAUACGUAUAUAGACUUUAUAUCCUCACUUCCCCUUCCUCUCAUGUAUUUCAGUUAUUUCCAAUGACAUAGUGUAACCAAACCACCUUUGCUAAUGUACCACCCUCAGCCGUGUCAGCAUAACAUCGGGGGGAACAAAACCAGUUUUCUCUAAGUGAAUAGACACUCCAGCACAUGGAAUGUAUGGGUAACAAAGGGAGAGAAUCCCCUUGCACACUGAGAAGGAAGCAGCAGGGUACAGCAGAGAACUGUGCCCGCUUCAUCUGAACUUAAGCCCCAACCCAGCAAAUGUUGGAUACUCUGAAUUUUGCCCGUGUAUUCGGGGGCUUAUGUGCAGUGCAUAACGCUGAGCAUGUAACCAAGUCCUUGCUGUAUCAGCGCCAGUUAUUCAGGGUUUAAAGUUGCUGUAUUAUACUUGAACUUGCUGAAGGCAGAUAAAUAGGGGCUUUGUAGUAAGUGCUGCUGAGCACCUUCUUUUAGCCCAAAGCCAUUUAAAAGGCAUCAGGCUACCAGUGCACGUUGUACCACAAAGAGCUGCCGGAGCGGGAAGCACUUGGUCGCAUCAUUUCUCUAAUGUGAGAGUUUCUCCAGGCUAUUUGCCUGCCUGUUACAAAGCGGGCUUAGAUAGCUCCACUGUCCUGUCACUUACAGGAGGAAACUGGAAACUGCUCUGUGUGUGUGUGUAUGUGUGUGUGUAAGAGGAGCGUGUGCGUAAAGAAUUCUGUACCUCUUCUCUAUCAUUUAAUUGCUCACGUAUUUUUGUUUGACAAGUGCACCAAUUGUUUAUAGCUCCCAAGGAGGCCUAGCAGUGCAUUUCUGUGUUAAGAUCCUUUGGCUGACAGUACAAAUAAAUGAAGUUUCAAGCAA
Long non-coding RNA from Strigops habroptila (Kakapo), 2320 nucleotides. NCBI's taxonomy places the organism in Eukaryota, Metazoa, Chordata, Aves, Psittaciformes, Psittacidae. The record is from Ensembl.